GACGAACGCUGGCGGCGUGCUUAACACAUGCAAGUCGAACGGAAAGGCCCUGCUUUUGUGGGGUGCUCGAGUGGCGAACGGGUGAGUAACACGUGAGUAACCUGCCCUUGACUUUGGGAUAACUUCAGGAAACUGGGGCUAAUACCGGAUAGGAGCUCCUGCUGCAUGGUGGGGGUUGGAAAGUUUCGGCGGUUGGGGAUGGACUCGCGGCUUAUCAGCUUGUUGGUGGGGUAGUGGCUUACCAAGGCUUUGACGGGUAGCCGGCCUGAGAGGGUGACCGGGGACAUUGCGCCUAAGAUACGGCGCAGACGCCUACGGGAGGCAGCAGUGGGGAAUAUUGCACAGUGGGCGGGAGCCUGAUGCAGCAACGCCGCGUUCGGGAUGACGGCCUUCGGGUUGUAAACCGCUUUCGCCUGUGACGAAGCGUGAGUGACGGUAAUGGGUAAAGAAGCACCGGCUAACUACGUG
This 468-nucleotide ribosomal RNA is filed under the name uncultured bacterium. Its description in RNAcentral is "partial 16S ribosomal RNA". It matches the Rfam family "Bacterial small subunit ribosomal RNA", at positions 28 to 507 of the family's 1533-position model. The record is from RNAcentral.